Molecule: transfer RNA, 63 nt
Filed under: Cerogria janthinipennis
Lineage: Eukaryota; Metazoa; Arthropoda; Insecta; Coleoptera; Tenebrionidae
Description: tRNA-Met
Source: RNAcentral
AAAAAGAUAAGCUAAUUUAAGCUAAUAGGUUCAUACCCUGUGAAUGAAAUUUUUCUCUUUUUA